AGGGGUUUAAGUAUAAUAAAAGCUUCUAACUUUUUUAAGGUGGUUAAAUUCCAUCAACCCCUU
Molecule: transfer RNA, 63 nt
Filed under: Helobdella robusta
Lineage: Eukaryota; Metazoa; Annelida; Clitellata; Rhynchobdellida; Glossiphoniidae
Description: tRNA-Ser
Source: RNAcentral